RNAcentral lists this transfer RNA (73 nucleotides) under Spirochaetales bacterium. RNAcentral's name for it is "tRNA-Ala". It matches the Rfam family "tRNA". Rfam says of the family: Transfer RNA (tRNA) molecules are approximately 80 nucleotides in length. Their secondary structure includes four short double-helical elements and three loops (D, anti-codon, and T loops). Lineage: Bacteria; Pseudomonadati; Spirochaetota; Spirochaetia; Spirochaetales. The record is from RNAcentral.
GGGGGUGUAGCUCAGUUGGUAGAGCGUUUGAAUGGCAUUCAACAGGCCAGGGGUUCGAUUCCCCUCACCUCCA